This is a non-coding RNA of Paramuricea clavata, 268 nucleotides long. The record is from the annotation of a GenBank genome assembly. NCBI's taxonomy places the organism in Eukaryota, Metazoa, Cnidaria, Anthozoa, Malacalcyonacea, Plexauridae.
CGAGUCUAAGGAAAUUUUUGUCGAUUUAAGGAAUUUUUACCACUGAGUCUAAGGAAAAUUUGGAAUUCCGUUCUGAGAGCCCUGAUACCGGCUGCGAGGUCUGUACUGAAAGUUCCUGAGUCCAGAUCCAGACCUUCCAGUUACCGUGAAAUUCACGCAUUUUUGUUUGCUAUCACGCAUGAAGUGACUUUCUUCCCGCAUUUUUAAACUUUAACUUGUCGAGAUUUCUUUAUGUGGGGCAAUUUGUCCCAUUUCUUUUCAUUUGCAC